Molecule: long non-coding RNA, 7434 nt
Filed under: Lactuca sativa (garden lettuce)
Lineage: Eukaryota; Viridiplantae; Streptophyta; Magnoliopsida; Asterales; Asteraceae
Description: long non-coding RNA (LSAT_LNC001406)
Source: RNAcentral
AAUCAUAGGGUGUAUCAUGAGCACUGAAAUGAGGACUUUACGUGAUGGAUCAGCCUAGGAAGGCCAGACCUAGGAAUGGUCGGAGCAGUUCUGACCUUAGGAUGCAGUUUGAGCGGUUGCAUGGCAUGGACUCGCCGAGUUCGAUGAACAGACUCGGCGAGUAGCUUGAAGAUUAACUGGGACUCGUCGAGUUGUUCUUCAGACUCGGCGAGUUGAGUCGGGGUGGCCCCGCGAUUCUUCCAGGAGUAACUCGUCGGGUCAAGGAGGAUACUCGACGAGUAGAAAGGGAAUCUCAGAGAAUUGGAGGACGUCUAGACUCGCCGAGUCGCCAUGGCACUCGCCGAGUCCGGUCGAGUUGACCGUUGACCGUUGACCGUUGACCAGAGUUGACCUAAGUCUGACUUCUUAGGGAUAGUCACACUUAGAAGAUAUAAGUGUUAAUGAGAGAUAUGUGAUGUUAUAGGGAGGUUGUAGCUCGACGGAUUGUGCACGAGUGAUUUCAGGAUUUGCUAGCUUUCAGCAUUCACGAGGUGAGUCUUCUCACUAUACUGUACCCGGAAGGGUUUGACUGUGUGACCGGAAGGUCAGAUAUGAUAUGUGAUAUGUAUGCUAUAUGUGGUAAGUUAUUUGUUAUAUGUGCUAUGUAUGUUAUGUGGGCCGGAAGGCAAUAUGUUAUGGGCCGGAAGGCGAUUAUGUUAUGGGCCGGAAGGCGUUGUGUUGAGGACCGGAAGGUCAGGGCCUGGAAAGGCGUAUGUGCGUAAGUUGUAUAUUGGGGAACUCACUAAGCAUUUAUGCUUACAGUUGUUAUGUAUGUGUUUCAGGUACUAGCGAGGACCGUGGGAAGGCGCCGGCGUGAUCGAUACACACUGAAGAAUGUUUUUAUGAUCUUGGGAUUUAGACAGUUUGUAUUUGACAUGACACUUAAAUUAUUUAUGCCUUGUUUUGAAUGAAAAUACUCUAUUUUUAAAAUGAAAAAUUUGUUUGAAAAUUUGCGUUGUUACAAUUGGUAUCAGAGCCUUGGUUUGAGGGAUUCGGGUGCACCUUCGGGAGUAACUGAACUCAAACCGAGGAUUUGAGGAAAACUUUUUAAAUAAAGGCAUAAACUUUUGUAAAUGGUUUUGUGGUAAGCAAGAAAGAAGCAGUGUGUACGAUCAGUCAGCGCCCGAACGGUAAAGAUCCCCAAAAUACCUUACAAUAUUAUAUGAUAUGAAUUGUUAUGCAUGCUAGAAGACUAGGUAUUCAUGAUAGGACUAGAGUGGCCUGAUUUGUGAUGCCUUAGUCUAGGGAAGUUUGCCGAUAUGAGAUGCUUUGCUAGUGUGCGGGUAGAUAGUGCAUAACAGAAGUAGAGUACUCACUAUCCGGGGUUUGGGGAGGAAGACUUGGGAUGAAUGCUGAUGCGGUGUGGUCGGUAGUAUUGGGCCCGUACUACCGAAGACACCGGGUCAGUGGGAGACCCAAGUAAGAAUCCCUGGAUAUCGGAGACUGAGUAGGGUUGCGUUAUCGAGUGCGAUUAUACUCGAUGGAGUCUCUGAUAGUUUUAUGUUGUAUUUCAGAGACAUCAUGGUUAGACCACGCCACGGAGCGAGUUCGAGCGGUGUGAGUGACGAGGAGAUUCGUCAGAUGAUUCACGAGGAGGUAGCUGCGGCGAUCCGGGCUGAGAUCCCGGAGAUGUUUGGGUCUAUUAAGACCACCCUGAUGGAGACGUUUGAGGAGCGGUACGCCGCAUUGACUGAAGCUGCAGCCGCUGCAGCUACCGCAGCUGUGGCCGCUGCCAGGCCACAGGGGGGUGACUCGUUGCUGUUCCGGGAGUUCAGCAACACGAAGCCACCUGAGUUCGAUGGGACGCAGGAUCCGAUUGCUGCGAUGAGGUGGAUCGCGGAUAUAGAGGGGUGCUUCUACACUUGUUCAUGCCCGGAGCACCUGAGGGUACGGUUCGCUUUGAACCAGCUCCGUCUGGGAGCGAAGGACUGGUGGAAGUUCGUGACGGCGAACUUCACUUUGGCAGAGAUUACAGCAGUGACAUGGGAGGGGUUUACUGCUAUGUUCAGGGACGAGUACGUUCCCCCGGUGGAGAGGGAACGAUUGGUUCAGGAGUUCUUAACCCUCAAGCAGGGUACUGAUUCGGUUGCGGUGAUCACGCGGAAGUUUCAUGAGAGGGCGAUGUUCUGCCCCGAGCUGGUGUCCACAGAGCAGGCUCGGAUGAGCCGGUACUUGGGUGUUUUGAGGAGGGAUAUCCGGGAGUUUGUGUCAAACUCCACCUAUCAUACCUUUGCUGAGCUUCAGGCGAAUGCCAGGAAGCGCGAGAUCGAGUUGGAGACCCAGGCCAGGGAGGAGGCCGAGUCUCAGCGGGUGGACCGGCGGCCGGCUCAGUCUCAGCCGGCAGCCAAGCGGACUAAGUCCGCCGAUUCGAGGACGGGAGGUUCGAAGGGCCGCACUUGCGGAAAGUGCGGCAAGGGUCACGAUGGGGCGUGUCGAGCUGGUGCUUGCUACAAGUGUGGCAAGGAGGGGCACAUUGCUAGGGAGUGCCCCAAGGGGUUUAUGGUUUGCUUUCAUUGCAACCAGACAGGCCAUCGGAAGGCCGAGUGCCCUCAGCUUCUUCAGGGAUCUGCACCUACUGCCAGAGCUACUGCGACUCGACCGGUGAAGGCCGAGGCCCCGAGGGCUCGUGGGAGAGCCUUUCAGCUGACUGCGGAGGAGGUCCGCGCUGCGCCCGAUGUUGUGGCAGGUAUGCUGUAAUUCAUGUAUUUAUUUUAAAGUCGAGAUGUUAUGCUUAUGUUAUUAUAUGCGUAGGUACUUUCCUUGUGAACUCUGUGCCUGCUUUAGUGUUAUUUGACUCGGGUGCGAGUAGGUCCUUUGUAUCUUUAGCCUUUAGUCAGCAUAUCAGCGUUAGUCGUGAGUCGUUGAGUCGGCCUCUGAGAGUUUCUAUAGCUGACGAGAGAGUGAUUUGUGCCACGGAGGUUCUCCGGGGAUGUGUGUUAGAGAUUUUCGGGGUUGAGUUUCCGAUUGAUCUGAUUCCUAUUGCGAUGGGUGAUGUCUGUGUCAUUGUGGGCAUGGACUGGUUGAGCCGAUUCGGCGCCGUCAUCGACUGUGAGCGUCAGCUGGUGACUAUACGAGACCCUAGUGGGGGAGUUCUUUCGGUGUACGGCGAGGGUACCCGUUCGGGAUCAGCUUUUUGUUCGGCCGCUAGGGCGAGGCAGUGUCUACAGCAGGGCUGUAAGGGUUUUGUGGCGUAUGUGAUGGAUACGCGGGAGGUUUCCGAGAGACCGAGAUCAGUUGAGGAGGUCCCAGUGGUGCGUGAGUUUCCAGAUGUUUUCCCCGAGGAGCUGCCGGGAGUACCUCCUGUGAGGCAAGUAGAGUUUGGUAUCGAUCUGGUUCCGGGGGCCGCGCCUAUUGCUAAGGUGCCUUAUCGUCUUGCACCUCCAGAGAUGCAAGAGUUGUCCUCGCAGCUCCAGGAGUUGCUGGGGAAGGGAUUCAUUCGGCCGAGCAGCUCGCCGUGGGGAGCACCUAUUCUGUUCGUCAAGAAGAAGGAUGGUUCACACCGGAUGUGCAUUGAUUACCGGGAGUUGAACAAGUUGACGGUCAAGAACCGUUACCCGUUACCGAGGAUCGAUGAUUUAUUCGAUCAGUUGCAGGGAGCAUCUUGGUUUUCCAAGAUCGAUCUGAGGUCAGGGUACCAUCAGGUGAGAGUGCGGGAUGAGGACGUCCAGAAGACAGCGUUUAGGACGCGAUAUGGGCAUUAUGAGUUUGUGGUGAUGCCUUUCGGGCUCACCAAUGCCCCGGCUGUGUUCAUGGAUCUCAUGAACAGGGUAUGCAGGCCGAUGUUGGAUCGGUCAGUGAUUGUAUUUAUCGACGACAUUCUGGUGUAUUCGAGAUCUAGAGAGCAGCAUGAGGAGCAUUUGAGGGAGGUCCUUGAGGUAUUGAGGUCGGAGAAGCUUUAUGCAAAGUUCUCCAAAUGUGACUUCUGGUUGCGGGAGGUCCAAUUUCUAGGACAUGUUGUUAAUCAGGAAGGGAUAUUGGUCGAUCCGGCCAAGGUUGAGGCGGUGAUGAGUUGGGAGGUGCCGAAGUCACCCUCUGAGAUCAGGAGCUUCCUUGGGUUGGCAGGGUAUUAUCGGAGAUUCAUUAAGGAUUUCUCCAAGAUCGCAGUGCCGCUCACCAGAUUGACCCGGAAGGGUGUUGCAUUCUCAUGGGGGCCCGAGCAGCAGACCUCCUUUGAGACACUUCGCCAGAGGUUGUGCGAAGCCCCGGUAUUAGCUCUCCCGGAAGGGAUGGAAGAUUUUGUAGUAUAUUGCGACGCAUCGAUUUCGGGACUGGGUGCAGUGUUGAUGCAGAGGGGUCAUGUGAUAGCUUAUGCGUCGAGGCAGCUGAAGCCUCAUGAGGCGAGAUAUCCCACGCAUGAUUUAGAGUUGGGGGCAGUAGUGUUCGCUCUCAAGAUUUGGCGUCACUACUUGUAUGGGGUUCGAUGUACGAUAUACACGGACCAUAAGAGUUUGAAGUAUUUGAUGGAUCAGCCCAACCUAAAUAUGCGUCAGAGGAGGUGGUUGGAUGUGGUCAAGGAUUAUGAUUGUGAGAUCCUGUACCACCCAGGCAAGGCUAAUGUGGUAGCCGACGCAUUGAGCCGCAGGGCGGAGAGCACUCCAUUGCGAGAUGUAUGCUUGAGACUGACUGUGAUGACUCCAGUAUUGGAUGCUAUUCGUGGGGCACAGGCCGAGGCUGUGCGACCAGAGAUGCAGAAGAAAGAGCGGGUCGUUGGGUUGGUUUCAGAGUUCGUUAAGGAUGGACGAGGGCUUAUGACGUUUCAGGGUCGGAUUUGGGUACCGUUCGUGGGCGGUACGCGUAUUACUUUGAUGGAAGAGGCUCAUAGAUCGAAAUUCUCGAUCCAUCCCGGUGCUACGAAGAUGUAUUUGGACUUGAGGAAAGAGUAUUGGUGGCCCUGUAUGAAGAGGGACGUCGCAUGGUUCGUUGAGAGGUGCUUGACCUGUCGUAGGGUUAAGGCCGAGCACCAGAGACCGCAUGGCAAGUUACAGCCAUUGGAGAUCCCCGAGUGGAAGUGGGAACAGAUCACUAUGGAUUUCAUCACCAAAUUGCCGAGGACUGCCAGGGGAGUUGAUGCAAUUUGGGUGAUUGUGGAUAGGUUGACGAAGAGUGCACACUUCCUUGCCAUCAGUGAGAGUUCUUCAGCGGAGAAGUUGGCGGAGAUAUAUGUGAGAGAAGUGGUAUCUCGGCAUGGAGUGCCGAUCUCGAUUGUUUCAGACCGUGAUGUGCGCUUCACUUCCAGGUUCUGGAAGAAAUUCCAUGAGGAGCUGGGUACUAAAUUGCAUUUUAGUACCGCAUACCAUCCCCAGACAGACGGUCAGAGCGAGCGGACGAUUCAGACGCUGGAGGACAUGCUUCGAGCGUGUGUGUUAGACUUCGGGGGUAGCUGGGAUGCAUAUUUACCCUUAGCAGAGUUUUCCUACAACAACAGCCAUCAUUCGAGCAUUGGUAUGCCACCUUUUGAGCUGUUGUAUGGUAGGAGGUGUCGGACCCCCAUUUGCUGGGGAGAGGUGGGACAGAGAGUGAUGGGCAGCACAGAGAUCGUGCUUCAGACGACAGAGCAGAUUCAGCAAGUUAGACAGAGGUUAUUGACCGCCCAGAGCCGACAGAAGAGUUAUGCAGACAGGCGCCGAUCCGAGCUUGAAUUUCAGGUCGGCGACUUCGUUCUCCUGAAGGUCUCUCCUUGGAAAGGAGUGAUUCGAUUCAGGAAGAGGGGCAAGUUGGGGCCCCGGUAUAUUGGGCCAUUUCGUGUGAUUGCAAGGAUAGGCCGGGUAGCCUAUCGGUUGGAGUUGCCAGCGGAGUUGGGACAGAUCCACGACACUUUUCAUGUGUCGCAAUUGAGGAAGUGCAUAGCCGAUGAGUCGGCAGUGGUUCCAUUGGAGGAUAUUCAGGUGGAUGCGAGCCUGAAUUAUGCUGAGAGACCAGUGGCCAUCAGGGAUCGGAAGAUCAAGGUUCUGAGGAACAAGGAGGUACCUCUGGUGUUGGUUCAGUCGCAACACCGUAAGGGAUCAGAAAUGACUUGGGAGCCGGAAUGUGAGGUGCGGGAGCAGCAUCCGGAACUAUUUGCAGAGUGAGACUUCGAGGGCGAAGUCUAAUCCUAGUGGGGGAGAGUUGUAACAGCCCGAAAUCUCAGGUAUUGUUAAAUUAUGUUUUUGGGGUGAUUUAAGAGGGGACUCGGCGAGUUGGAGCCUAGACUCGCCGAGUAGGAUCGCAGACUUGGUCGCGGGUUCGCGACUGGACUCGACGAGUCCAGAUAUGGACUCGGCGAGUCUACGCUGUUUAGCGAAAACCCUAACCGUUCAGGUUUGGGACGUAUAAAAAGGACUCAUUGGCCGUCAUUGUUCAUUUUAGCCUUCUGAGAAGAACCCUAAAUCGAUUGUGUGCAUCUGGAGCAAGGAUUAUAGGCCAUUGUUGAUUAUAGAAGAGUUGUUGUGCAAGGAAGAGAAGGGAUUGGCUAAAGGAACAGCAAGGGAGUCACAUUCUGAGGAUUGGGGACACAGAGAAUACAUCAUCCAGGUAAGAAUUCGAGUAUAAUCUGCUAUGUUGAUGUGAUUAUGGAAUUAGGGUUUAUGGAAGCCUUUUGUGAAUAGAUUGAUUGUUACCCUGGUCCCCUAAUCGAUUGUAACCCUGUAUUGGGACCUUUGGAGGUCCAGAAUGUCCCAUGUCUGUGCAUUUCAGGAAUUGAUGAAGGUUUUGGAUUGGAAUCCUUAUGCCUUAGAUCAAAAUGUAAAUUAUGAAUCAUAUGGUGUAUCAUGAGCACUGAAAUGAGGACUUUACGNUCAGCCUUUACGUGAUGGAUCAGCCUAGGAAGGCCAGACCUAGGAAUGGUCGGAGCAGUUCUGACCUUAUGAUGCAGUUUGAGCAGUUGCAUGGCAUGGACUCGCCGAGUUCGACGAACAGACUCGGCUGAGUUUGCUGAGGCUGUGGUGGAGGGAGAGGGUUCUUGGUGGAACGGAAGUGAUUGUUUUGAAAGUUGCGGUUGAACAGGUGGUAGAUUGUAUUGUUGGCUUUAUCGAAAUGAAGGUGGUAAGCGAUUGAAUUUCUGACUGAUAAGAGCAAUGGCAUUCUGGAACUCUUCUUCAUCGUCAUAUUCUGAGUCAGUUUCAUAUGACUACGGUGGUGAGUCAUACGAAGUUGGAUAGGUUUGAGUGUGAGGUGAUUGUGCUACUAAUGCAAGUGGACCUCCGAAGUCUGAGCAGUCCUUGAGUACGGUGGACUCUUGAGCUUGCAACUCUCCAUAAAGCUUAUAGAGAGAUAAUGAGUGAAUCCUCCUGUCACCUUGUACAAUCAUUUUGGCUAUUGUCCAAUGUCUUCCUAAGCCAUUAAGGAACUGUAGAUUUGUUUCAUGAUUGUCGCGGAUGGUACCCGUAUUGGACAGUUUUGUAACGAUCAAGUUGAAUC